CAGGAAAUUCCAUGCUCCCAAAGCCAAGCGGGUCCUUCAGGAGGCGCCGGGAGCUGCUGGCUCGGCCGUGCCCAUUCCUUCCCAGAGCAGUGAUCCCGAUGGAGAUCCUGCCAGGAUGGACACCCCGGCAAGCGAGGACGGCGAGGCGGAUCCAAAAGGAAUCCCCGUGGGAGAGCACGGAGCUGGAUCCCCACAGGAGGAGAGAGACAAGGAAAUCAGAGGUGGUGGAGCACCAGAAUCACCGGAACAGGGCGUUUCCGAUGAGAUGGAAGAGAAACAUCUGGAAUUGCCCCAGCUGGG
Long non-coding RNA from Hirundo rustica (Barn swallow), 300 nucleotides. RefSeq lists it as uncharacterized. NCBI's taxonomy places the organism in Eukaryota, Metazoa, Chordata, Aves, Passeriformes, Hirundinidae. The transcript has 3 exons. The record is from RefSeq and is a predicted model, not a curated record.